RNAcentral lists this long non-coding RNA (199 nucleotides) under Panax ginseng (ginseng). RNAcentral describes it as "long non-coding RNA (PGIN_LNC002522)". The record is from RNAcentral. Lineage: Eukaryota; Viridiplantae; Streptophyta; Magnoliopsida; Apiales; Araliaceae.
UUUAACUUAUCUAAGUGGAAUCACUAUAAAAGGUGUUGUAAAUUUUCGUGUGGACUGAUUUUAGCAAAGGAGUCAAAAGCUGCGAAUUAGAAAAAAAUCUACUGUCCAGAAAUUUAAAAGGGCAUUUUCGGCCACUUAAUUUAUGAAAAAAAUUUCGGCCUUUUGAAACAUAAAAAUUUAUGGUAUAAAGUACCUCCUG